UCUAAAGGUGACGUGUCACCAUGAUAGAAAGUUUCGGUUUAUUUUUCAUUUCCUUGGAACAUAAUUUUUUCUUCUUCUCUCGCAAACCUCGACAAGGCGAAACGGGAGAGAUUUGUGUUCUCAUCACCGUCGUCUCCUCGUUUCCUCGUUCCGGCACAGCGCCAUCGAACUUUUAUUCCGAUAGAAGAAGAUGGAGUGUGUAGUUCCAUUCCGGCGAUGCUUUUGUCUCAAUUCGCCGGAGAUACGCCAUCGCAUCGUUAACCACAGCCGUCGCCAUCUCCAUCUCUCUAUCUCCGGCGAUGCUUUCCUCUUCUCUUCUUUGUUUCUUCUUCAUCAACACAGCUUUUUAGUCUUACUCGCUCCUUUGGUUAAUUCCAGGGCUUUGGCCUCUCUCUGAUAAGAAGAUUCGAUUUCUUGCUCCACUAGCACAGAGAAGCUCCUUGAAUCGCCGUACCGACUCCAUCGACCACCUUCCUCUUUCCAUGGUUGCAGAAACAAAUUUGGAUAAGGUUGAUUUUGUCUAAGAUUGUUGUGUUCCCGAAGAUAAUCAGAGUGAAGAACUCGGUUGAAGCUGACAUUGUGUUCCUGUUAUAAUCAGUGAUCAGAUUGAGCUUCCGUUUUGUGUUGAUACAUCAGGAACUGAGUUUAUCAAAUGUCCAGUUAAAUGUACUUGAAGGUACUCUCUGUGCUUUGGUAGAAUUAUGAUCCCAAUCAAGAACUGGCUCUGCAACAUCCACAAAAUCAAUGCUGCUAGUGGUCCCGCUGCUCCAACUGCAGGCAUCCGGAGAAUCAGACGUUAUAUCCCUAGCAUCAUCAGAUGGAUGCAGUAUAGGAUGAACAGGCUUGGACAAGAAAAAGCACUGGCUUGAGAAGUUUCGGUUAGGUUCGGAGUCACCAAUAUCUGAACAAGAUGAGAACGAACCAACGUUUCUUGAUGUACAGGAAGUUGCUUAAGAAUUUGAUCUGCGGAGAGAAACACGAAACGAUAUGAAAGCCGAUCAGAGCAAGAAAUGAUUUGAGUUGGCACGGAGAAUUUGGUUGAUGCAAUAAACCUCUUCUUGUUGCAGAAUCAAGAUGAUUAGGAGUCCAAUGAGAAAGGUCGGGACUACGAAAAACAUUAGCAUCAAAACACCUGCAACAUUUUACAACUUUGUAGACUUCCCCAAUGAGAAAGGUCGGGAAUACAUUCUUUAACCACUUUGUAGACUUCCCCAUGAUGAAUGGAACUCAGAACACCUGCAACAUUUACAAAAGCUUAUGAUUACUA
This is a long non-coding RNA of Camelina sativa (false flax), 1267 nucleotides long. RefSeq lists it as uncharacterized. Lineage: Eukaryota; Viridiplantae; Streptophyta; Magnoliopsida; Brassicales; Brassicaceae. The record is from RefSeq and is a predicted model, not a curated record.